ACCAAGAAACCUACCAGGAUAUGAAGACAGAACUGUAAUUAAAGUGCAUGAUGGACCAUGUGAACACUCCUCAGAUGAGUUUGAAC
Molecule: non-coding RNA, 86 nt
Organism: Arvicanthis niloticus (Nile rat)
Lineage: Eukaryota; Metazoa; Chordata; Mammalia; Rodentia; Muridae
Source: RefSeq, a predicted model, not a curated record